RNAcentral lists this transfer RNA (75 nucleotides) under Pseudomonadota bacterium. RNAcentral describes it as "tRNA-Gln". It matches the Rfam family "tRNA". From Rfam's summary of the family: Transfer RNA (tRNA) molecules are approximately 80 nucleotides in length. Their secondary structure includes four short double-helical elements and three loops (D, anti-codon, and T loops). Further hydrogen bonds mediate the characteristic L-shaped molecular structure. tRNAs have two regions of fundamental functional importance: the anti-codon, which is responsible for specific mRNA codon recognition, and the 3' end, to which the tRNAs corresponding amino acid is attached (by aminoacyl-tRNA synthetases). tRNAs cope with the degeneracy of the genetic code in two manners: having more than one tRNA (with a specific anti-codon) for a particular amino acid; and 'wobble' base-pairing, i.e. permitting non-standard base-pairing at the 3rd anti-codon position. The record is from RNAcentral. RNAcentral also lists the same sequence under 2 other names. Lineage: Bacteria; Pseudomonadati; Pseudomonadota.
UGGGGAGUCGUCCAACGGCUAGGACACGUGACUCUGGAUCACGGUAUCGGGGUUCGAAUCCCUGCUCCCCAGCCA